RNAcentral lists this transfer RNA (66 nucleotides) under Chamaeleo gracilis. Its description in RNAcentral is "tRNA-Met". The record is from RNAcentral. Lineage: Eukaryota; Metazoa; Chordata; Lepidosauria; Squamata; Chamaeleonidae.
ACUAGGAUCUGCUAAACACAAGCAAUUGGGCCCAUGCCCCAAAAUUGAUAGUAUUAUCUCCCAGUA